RNAcentral lists this ribosomal RNA (624 nucleotides) under uncultured fungus. RNAcentral's name for it is "eukaryotic LSU rRNA". The stretch from base 261 to 413 matches the Rfam family "5.8S ribosomal RNA". Lineage: Eukaryota; Fungi. The record is from RNAcentral.
GGAAGUAAAAGUCGUAACAAGGUUUCCGUAGGUGAUGCUCGUCGUAAAUCAUUAUCUAUUCCAUGAGGUGCGGUCGCGGCCCUCGGCGGGAGCAACAUGCUCGCUGAUACGGUAGAGGUAACACUUUCACGCGCCGCAUUCUGAAUCCUUUUUUUACGAGCACCUUUCGUUCUCCUUCGGCGGGGCAACCUAUGCCUCGUGAUAGUAAUGCUCGUAGUAGAUGCUCGUGAAUUACCUGUUCUGAUACAAACAAUCGUUACAACUUUCAACAAUGGAUCUCUUGGCCCUGGCAUCGAUGAAGAACGCAGCGAAAUGCGAUAAGUACCGUGAUAGUCAGAAUUCAGUGAAUAUCGAAUCUUUGAAUUCUCUCCGCGCCCCUUGGUAUUCCAUGGGGCAUGCCUGUUCGAGCGUCAUCUACAGACCCUCAAGCUCUGCUUGGUGUUGGGCGUCUGUCCCGCCUAUGCUAUGCUCGCUGUAGCAAAUUCAUUGUCAGCGGUCACGCUGAUAGUACGCGCAGCACAUUGCGCUUCUCGAGGUGCGCGGCCCGCGUCCACGAAGCAACAUUACCGUCUUUGACCUCGGAUCAGGUAAUGCUCGCCUGCUGAACUUAAGCAUAUCAAUAAG